GUUUAGUGAAAGGUUGUUGGAUAAUGGAUUAUCUCUUGGUUUAGAUAUACCUACAACACUCAUGGAUAAACUCAAACAAUUGACAAGUGAUUAUUCAGAGAUCAAGCGAAGCUUUCUUCCUUCAUGUGUUCGAUGUAAGGAGAGACAUCUAUGAAAUACAAUUGUAACUGCAUUUAAAGAUGAUAUUACAAAAAGCGUCGAAAGAAAAAUGCAACAUUUUUAGCGGUCGGGGUAAGGGCUGUGCAAAUGUAAUAAGAUCUUCUUAUCAAUGAUCAAUGAAUAUAUAUUUGGUAAUUUGUCAUGUUGAUUAAUAUCUUAUGUUUAAAAUGUACAAUUUUCUAUUAUUAACAGUUAUCUUCUUAGUCACAUCAAUUCGUUGUUCAUAUUUUAUUCGUGUUAAAAAUUAAGAAUAUUAUGUGUAAAUAUGUAAUAUGUAUUUAACUUUGCAAUUUUGUUAUCAAUGCAAAUAAUAGUCUAUAUUUUUAUCAAAAGCUAUAAUAAAGAAUAUAACGCUAAAA
Molecule: long non-coding RNA, 518 nt
Organism: Eurytemora carolleeae
Lineage: Eukaryota; Metazoa; Arthropoda; Copepoda; Calanoida; Temoridae
Exons: 2
Source: RefSeq, a predicted model, not a curated record